This 490-nucleotide ribosomal RNA is filed under the name uncultured bacterium. Its description in RNAcentral is "partial 16S ribosomal RNA". It matches the Rfam family "Bacterial small subunit ribosomal RNA", at positions 29 to 507 of the family's 1533-position model. The record is from RNAcentral.
AAUGAACGCUGGCGGCAUGCCUUACACAUGCCAGUCGAACGGCAGCAUGACCUAGCUUGCUAGGUUGAUGGCGAGUGGCGCACGGGUGAGUAAUGCAUCGGAACGUGCCUUUUAGUGGGGGAUAACGUAGCGAAAGUUACGCUAAUACCGCAUAUUCUCUGAGGAGGAAAGCAGGGGACCUUCGGGCCUUGCGCUAGAAGAGCGGCCGAUGUCGGAUUAGCUAGUUGGUGAGGUAAAGGCUCACCAAGGCAACGAUCCGUAGCGGGUCUGAGAGGAUGAUCCGCCACACUGGGACUGAGACACGGCCCAGACUCCUACGGGAGGCAGCAGUGGGGAAUUUUGGACAAUGGGCGCAAGCCUGAUCCAGCCAUGCCGCGUGAGUGAAGAAGGCCUUCGGGUUGUAAAGCUCUUUCGGCUGGGAAGAAAUCGCACCCUCUAAUACAGGGUGUGGAUGACGGUACCAGCAUAAGAAGCACCGGCUAACUACGUG